RNAcentral lists this ribosomal RNA (484 nucleotides) under uncultured bacterium. RNAcentral describes it as "partial 16S ribosomal RNA". It matches the Rfam family "Bacterial small subunit ribosomal RNA", at positions 30 to 507 of the family's 1533-position model. The record is from RNAcentral.
AUUGAACGCUGGCGGCAGGCCUAACACAUGCAAGUCGAGCGGAUGAAGGGAGCUUGCUCCUGGAUUCAGCGGCGGACGGGUGAGUAAUGCCUAGGAAUCUGCCUGGUAGUGGGGGAUAACGUCCGGAAACGGGCGCUAAUACCGCAUACGUCCUGAGGGAGAAAGUGGGGGAUCUUCGGACCUCACGCUAUCAGAUGAGCCUAGGUCGGAUUAGCUAGUUGGUGGGGUAAAGGCCUACCAAGGCGACGAUCCGUAACUGGUCUGAGAGGAUGAUCAGUCACCCUGGAAACGAAAACACGUUCCGACUCCCUACGGAGGCCAGCGGGGGGAAUAUUGGACCAUUGGCGAAAGGCUGGUCCAGGCCAGCCCCGUGGGGUAAGAAGGUCCUCGGAUUUGUAAGCACUUUAAGUUGGGAGGAAGGGCAGUAAGUUAAUACCUUGCUGUUUUGACGUUACCAACAGAAUAAGCACCGGCUAACUUCGUG